Cyanistes caeruleus (blue tit) is the source of this 1281-nucleotide long non-coding RNA. RefSeq lists it as uncharacterized. NCBI's taxonomy places the organism in Eukaryota, Metazoa, Chordata, Aves, Passeriformes, Paridae. The record is from RefSeq and is a predicted model, not a curated record.
UUUUAAAUGGUAUUGAAAGUUUGUACUUUAAAGGCAAACUCUUAUCUAACUUUGAAAGGGAAGAAGAAGUGCCUCAGAAGAGUUGCAGUAUGAGCAUAAACCAGCAUUGCCAAUUAUUUGUUCCUGCCUCUUCUGGAGCAGGAUAGAGCUGCCCUCUUUCUAGUUUAUGUUCUCAUAUCUUCAGUAGCUCAAGUAGCACAGAUCCACACUUGGCACUAAAAUUUUGCAAUCCCUUCCUCAAAAUGCUCUUCAGGACUGUAUCUUUAAACAGGACAGAAACAGGACAAAGCUCAAGUACAAAAGGGGAAAAAAAAAAAAGGAAAGCACCUGAAGUUGAUUACUCUUAAAAGUGAAGGACAUCUCUUGGCUUAAUAUUUUUGUAUGAUCAGGAGUGAAACAUUAGGGAUGAACAAGAAAGGUAGCAUUCUUUAUCAUUCUCUUCAUCUGAAUCUAAAUUCAGCUGGUAAGACAUACCAGUUCAGGGCUCUGUAUGCCCUGGCACCUGGUACAGGAAGUCUGUCCCAACAACAGUUAUGCAGUCAAAUGCAAUGUCUUUUUGAUUCUUAAAAGACUCUAAGAAGAACUUUAAACUCUACCCAGAAAUCAACAGGCAGGUCCUGGAGCUGCAGUGCCAAAAGCAUUGCAGAGAUGCCCUUCUGUCAAGUAAGCCCUUACCGUGUUUCCGGUAUCAAAUUAAAAAUUAAUUUUUUUAAAGUGUAGUAGAAAAGGGCCAAGUUAAAAAAAGAGGUUAGUCAGUCAAAAAGCUGCCUGAAUUACUUCUGAAACAUGCUCUCCAGAUGGCUGGGAUAAUUUUGACUGUUAAGGUUUUCAUUUGACUAGAGAUCCAACAGCAGGCUCACUGUCUUCAAGGACUAAUAUUGCCUCUGGCUGCUUCUCAAUACCAACCAGCAACCCAAAUUUUUCUGGGCUAAACUUUAAUCUGUCAAGUAUGAGCUUGGCACCAUCUGGGACACCAUCAGCUAAAGGGGCAGGCAAGUCCCACUGUCCUCACUUCCUGCAAACUGAAAGAAAACUAUUGAGUUCUUCAACAUCCCAAAAGCGACCACAAAACCUCUGAGAUCUGGGACUCUGUUACAGCAAAUACCUAAUGGAUUUCCAGUCCUGUGUCACAAAGAAUCUCCUGGUGACACACAGCUCUGCUUUGAGGCCGGUUCAUUCCCACAUGCUGAGUAUCCAACUGAAGACAAUACAGUUCCUCUCACUGAAAUAACUUCAACAGAUGCAUGCAUUUCUACAAGUAAAACUGUAUUAUUUAAAUAA